GGCCUGGUUGGGUGGUCUUGCCGCAAGGUAAGCACUGCUCCGAUCGGGUCUUUCCUUCUGGGGAACCAGCGUGCUCUUAAUUGGGUGCGCUGGGGAUCCAGGACUUUUACUUUGAAAAAAUUAGAGUGUUCAAAGCAGGCCUAUGCCCGAAUACAUUAGCAUGGAAUAAUAAAAUAGGAC
Molecule: ribosomal RNA, 180 nt
Filed under: uncultured Glomeromycotina
Lineage: Eukaryota; Fungi; Glomeromycota
Description: partial small subunit ribosomal RNA
Rfam family: Eukaryotic small subunit ribosomal RNA (bases 91-180)
Source: RNAcentral